Molecule: ribosomal RNA, 460 nt
Filed under: uncultured bacterium
Lineage: Bacteria
Description: partial 16S ribosomal RNA
Rfam family: Bacterial small subunit ribosomal RNA
Source: RNAcentral
CCUACGGGAGGCAGCAGUGAGGAAUAUUGGUCAAUGGACGAGAGUCUGAACCAGCCAAGUAGCGUGAAGGAUGACUGCCCUAUGGGUUGUAAACUUCUUUUAUAUGGGAAUAAAAUGUUCCACGUGUGGGAUUUUGUAUGUACCAUAUGAAUAAGGAUCGGCUAACUCCGUGCCAGCAGCCGCGGUAUUACGGAGGAUCCGAGCGUUAUCCGGAUUUAUUGGGUUUAAAGGGAGCGUAGGUGGAUUGUUAAGUCAGUUGGGAAAGUUUGCGGCUUAACCGUAAAAUUGCAGUUGAAACUGGCAGUCUUGAGUACAGUAGAGGUGGGCGGAAUUCGUGGUGUAGCGGUGAAAUGCUUAGAUAUCACGAAGAACUCCGAUUGCGAAGGCAGCUCACUGGACUGCAACUGACACUGAGGCUCGAAAGUGUGGGUAUCAAACAGGAUUAGAUACCCGGGUAGUC